CUACGGAGGGUGCAAGCGUUACUCGGAAUCACUGGGCGUAAAGGAUGCGUAGGCGGAUAAUCAAGUCAAAAGUGAAAUCCUACAGCUUAACUGUAGAACUGCUUUCGAAACUGGUUAUCUAGAAUAUGGAAGAGGCAGAUGGAAUUAGUGGUGUAGGGGUAAAAUCCGUAGAGAUCACUAGGAAUACCGAUUGCGAAGGCGAUCUGCUGGGACAUUAUUGACGCUGAGGCAUGAAAGCGUGGGGAGCAAACAGGAUUAGAAACCCUAGUAGUCC
This 274-nucleotide ribosomal RNA is filed under the name uncultured bacterium. Its description in RNAcentral is "partial 16S ribosomal RNA". It matches the Rfam family "Bacterial small subunit ribosomal RNA", at positions 523 to 796 of the family's 1533-position model. The record is from RNAcentral.